RNAcentral lists this ribosomal RNA (301 nucleotides) under uncultured bacterium. RNAcentral's name for it is "partial 16S ribosomal RNA". It matches the Rfam family "Bacterial small subunit ribosomal RNA", at positions 509 to 807 of the family's 1533-position model. The record is from RNAcentral.
CAGUCGCCGCGGUAAUCCGUAGGUGGCAAGCGUUGUCCGGAAUUAUUGGGCGUAGAGGGCUCGCAGGCGGUUUCUUAAGUCUGAUGUGAAAGCCCCCGGCUCAACCGGGGAGGGUCAUUGGAAACUGGGAAACUUGAGUGCAGAAGAGGAGAGUGGAAUUCCACGUGUAGCGGUGAAAUGCGUAGAGAUGUGGAGGAACACCAGUGGCGAAGGCGACUCUCUGGUCUGUAACUGACGCUGAGGAGCGAAAGCGUGGGGAGCGAACAGGAUUAGAUACCCCCGUAGUCCCUGUCUCUUAUAC